Molecule: long non-coding RNA, 1918 nt
Organism: Brassica napus (rape)
Lineage: Eukaryota; Viridiplantae; Streptophyta; Magnoliopsida; Brassicales; Brassicaceae
Exons: 2
Source: RefSeq, a predicted model, not a curated record
GAGAGAGAGAGAGAGAGAGAGAAAACGAUUCUUGUGACUUUUCCCCCAUAAAACAUAAGGAGUUCCGGCGAUGAUGCAUGAUUCGUCUGGUGAUGAUGAUUCGUGCUCCGGCGAUGACGACUCCAGCUCCAGCGAUGACGAUUCGAGCUCUGGUAUUGUUUUGAUUUGGUUUUCUCUUUUUAUUACACACAACUAUGAAUUGCUUUAUUACAAUGUGAUAUUUUUUGUUUAAGUUGAUUGGUUUUGUUUUCAGUAUUGUGAAGUGGUGUUUAGGAGAAAAGUUAGUUGUAUAACACGUCACUUGUAUAAUUUGGUAAAGUGAUUCACGAUUUUCUUUGCAAUCCAAAUAAUUAAAAAGAAAGAUGGUUUGAUGAAGACAUAAAACACUUGAGCCAACUUAUUACAAAGAUAACAACUCAAUCAGAUUCAAACUCAACAAAAGCUUAUGCUGAUAACAAAAGAAGGCUUUUAACUCAAGAACGCAAGCACAAACGGAGCUUUGUGGCAUCGAUUUUGAUAAGUCUUUAGUGAAGCUAAAUGAGCUCUCUUCAACUCUCUUACACAACUCUUAUACUUGAGCAUUCAUGAAAAAAACUGUAGUAGACGGUUUGAUAAGGAAGCGUCCCGCGGUACGGGUUUGGGCCGGCAUUUUGAAGACCGCAGCCCGCGCGGGACAGGCCCGCUGUAACCCGCUCGACGACUAACCCGUUGCGGUACGGGACGGAACGGGACGGGUAAACCUGUUUGACAUCUCUAGUUCUUAGGCUAAUAAGUAAUUAAAAAAAAUGAAAAAUGGCAAUUAACUUAAGAGGCGGGUCUCGGAGAGGUGAUUUUAGUCGGUGAAGAAAACUUCAACCCGACGAAGGAUAUGUGUUCUCUCUUCCCCGAAGUCGACGAUGACCACGCUACCAUACGCCGACGUCGUCACCUCUCUCGCAGAUGAUGGACCUGGAAUCUCCGCGAAGGAGGUAGGAGGAAAGAGCCGUGAUCGUGGUCGCGGUCUCCGGAACUAUAUAUACAUCUCAAUACGUAGUUGAGCGUAUCGUCUCACAUGAUGUUGAUGGGAUUCAGAUUAAGCCAAAGUCUAGACAUAUUAGGUGUAGCUUGAGAGAUUACGAUGAUGGGCUUAUUGAUAUCACUAACAGAGCGCUGCGCUGAUAUCAUUGUUUCUAGGUUUAUGUUUUAUGGUUUAUUUAUUUGUGAGUGUUGUGACUGGUGCUUAGUUUUGUGUUCUUGGUUUUACAGAUGUCAGCAUGAUAAGACGAUGUUGAUUGGAGCAGAUCCUUCUCAUGUUGAUGAUAGAAAAAUUGCUUAGUGAUCAACCUCAACUUCUUCAGCAAUUUGGAUUGGAUCUUCUUCCAGUUCUAGCGCAGGUACUCUCUGUUGUAUGUUAAACUAUCUUUUUUCUUUCCAAUAGAUUCAUGGUUCGCCGUAAAUGUCUCUCAGUUAUCGGAAAGUUGAUAGCACUUCAGAAAUGAUGACACAAAUAUAUCUAGGUAUGUUGUUUACUAUUAAAUUACUUCACGUGAUAGUGGGUGCAACAUCUUAUAUCUUUUUCGUAUAUCCACAAGUCUUGGUCCAUGCUCUUCAAGUUGCAGAAAUUCUGAUGGAAAAGCUUCCUGAAACGUUCUCUAAAGUUUUCGCGAGGGAAUGGGUGGUUCAUGCUGUAGAUCAACUUGUCUUGGUUGCUAAACCUUUAUCUCAUGCUUGUUUCUGAGUUUGUUUGUUUGUUUCUCAGUUUAUUAUUACGACUUUGUUUUGAAGACUGAAGUUCAUGUUUGUUUCUGAGUUUAUUUUUAGGGAAAUUUGGCUGUAUGACGCUGAAAAAAACCAUAAUUCACCUUCUAACCAAUUUCCCUAAUAUAUCGAUACACCAUCUGUCUUUCCUAUAAUAUUGCCAAAAUACCCUUUCAUUCUA